AUGUCUAAGUCAGAGUCUCCUAAAGAGCCUGGACAGCUAUGGAAGCUCUACAUGAGAUAGUUUGAGGAGCCAUUUUGAGCAAGGCAGAAUGCUCACAGACUAGUAUAAGAGUCAAACACCAAGAAUUCCAGGGGCUUUGGGUUUGUCACAUAUGCCACUGUGGAAGAGGCAGAAGCAGCCAUGAAUGCAAGGACAGAAAAAGUGGAUAGAAGAGUUGUGCAGCCAAAGACAGCUGCUGCCCUAAGACAAAAUUCUCAAAGACCAGGUGUCCACUUAACUGUGAAAAAAGAUCUUUGUGGUGGACAUUGAAGAACAUCACCUAAGAGAUUACUUUGAAUAGGAUGGGAAAAAUUGAAGUGACUGAAAUCAUAACUGACCGAGGUAGUGGCAAGAAAAGGGGUUUGCAUUUGUUCAUUUUGAUGAUCAUAACUCCUUGGAUAAGACUGUUAUUCAGAAAUACCAUCCUGUGAAUUGUCACAACUGUGAAGCAAGGAAAGCCCUGUGGAACCAAGAGGUGGCUGGUGUUUUACCCAGCCAAAGAGGUCGAAGUGGCUCUUAAAACUUUUCUUGAAGUGGCCGUGGAGGUGGUUUUGGUGGGUAUGACAACUUUGGUUAUCGAGAAAACCUCAGUGGUCCAGGUGGCUUUGGUGGCAGCCAUGGUGAUGGUGGAUAUAGUGACAGCAGGCUUGGCUAUAACAGAUUUAGUAAUGGUGAGAGUAGUUUUGGAGGUGGUGGAUGCUAUAAUGACUUUGGCAAUUAUAAUAACCGAUCUUCAAAUUUUGGACACAUGAAGGGCAGAAACUUCAGAGGCAGAAGCUCUGACCUCUAUGAUGGUGGAGGGUAAUAUUAUACUUUGCCAAACUAUGAGCCUAGGGUGGCUAUGAUGGUUUCAGUAGCAUCAGUAGCUAUGGCAGUGACAGAAGAUUU
RNAcentral lists this long non-coding RNA (927 nucleotides) under Homo sapiens (human). RNAcentral describes it as "non-protein coding lnc-PCDH9-11:1". The record is from RNAcentral. Lineage: Eukaryota; Metazoa; Chordata; Mammalia; Primates; Hominidae.